Molecule: unclassified non-coding RNA, 295 nt
Filed under: uncultured fungus
Lineage: Eukaryota; Fungi
Description: partial contains small subunit ribosomal RNA, internal transcribed spacer 1, and 5.8S ribosomal RNA
Rfam family: Eukaryotic small subunit ribosomal RNA (bases 1-73)
Source: RNAcentral
CCAAACUUGGUCAUUUAGAGGAAGUAAAAGUCGUAACAAGGUCUCCGUUGGUGAACCAGCGGAGGGAUCAUUACUGAAGUUUGAAAAAACUCCAAACACCUGUGAACUUACCUAUGUUGCCUCGGUAGGUGUGCUCUCAUUGCCCCGUAGGAACCUAUAGUACAAUGGGCGUACCCUGCCGAAGGCCCCUAUAAACUCUUGUAUUUUGAACAUUGGAUCUUCUGAAAAAAAAAAAAUUGUGGUUAAAACUUUCAACAACGGAUCUCUUGGCUCUGGCAUCGAUGAAGAACGCAGC